Hemicordylus capensis (graceful crag lizard) is the source of this 625-nucleotide long non-coding RNA. RefSeq lists it as uncharacterized. The record is from RefSeq and is a predicted model, not a curated record. NCBI's taxonomy places the organism in Eukaryota, Metazoa, Chordata, Lepidosauria, Squamata, Cordylidae. The transcript is spliced from 2 exons.
CAGCGUGUAUUCCAGAGUCAUUGUGUCGGGGCCCAGGCCCACAGCCCUGGCUGGCCAAGGGCUGGAAGGAAGCCAUGGCAGAGGCGUCGGACCCGCUUAACUGGAGGAGGGACAGAGGGUGCAAGGGACGCUGAGCAUGUGGCCCCAUGGAGCAAGAGGCCGAUGGUGCAAAACCCAGGGGUGGUACAACACCUGAGGAGCAUCCACAGCAUCCAGCCAGACCUCCAGUGAGCUCCCACUCGCAGGAACAUGUACAUCUCCUCAAGAAGCCUCCUCCGUGGCUUCCGGAAGCUUAUCUCCAUCAUCCUCACGAUCCUCUUUUGCGACCUCCUCCUCCGCAUCUCGUUUGUCCUGCUCUUCUUCCUGCUGCUCCCGUUUUUCAUCAUCUAUGACCAUGUGGUCCCCUCUGUCAUCCUGGUAGUCAAGUCGUUGCGGCCGAUCAUAGACAGCUUCUUUGGCCGGUUCUUGCCCUCUCUGUUUGCAUUUGCGUUGUCCCUUUUCCCGCCUGUGGCCAUCUUCUUCUUCACAAAGUACGUCUUAGUGCCUGGCUCCAUCUACAUCUUCCGUAUCACCUGGUGAACAUUUCCCAAUCCAUCCAUUCCAAUACAUCAGCCAAGAAUUUUCA